Molecule: long non-coding RNA, 2662 nt
Organism: Triticum dicoccoides
Lineage: Eukaryota; Viridiplantae; Streptophyta; Magnoliopsida; Poales; Poaceae
Exons: 2
Source: RefSeq, a predicted model, not a curated record
CCCUGGAAUUCUCACGAUCGCGUUUGGACGCCCACGAGAAAGGGGUACCCCUGGCCUUUCCCCGGGAAAGGCUCCCACGAGUGCAGACGUCGGGGAGGAAACCCUCGCUCGUUCUGUCUUGCACUCGUGAACGACUGGCGGCGGCGACUGGAAGACCUUCCGUCCACCGCUCCUGCCUCCUCCGACCGGCGACUGCGACGCCCCCUGCCCUCCUCCCUUCGACGCUCUGCCCCUCCGGAUGGGGCGACGGGACCGGGGUCGCCAUCCUACUACUUCCCGGAUCUCGUCUCCGCCCCCAAGAUCUUCACCUUCCGAUGACGACGACGGCCAGGAGAUCAUGCUCCUCUUCGUCCAAGAUCCAAGAGUCUUCUCUCCUGUUUGAGUUUUGUAUCACAAGAACCAAUACGGAAGAACAUCCAUCGUUUGCAGUAGUGUUUCUACCUAACUAUCCUGACCUCACAAGUGAGCACAACCACAUAUACCUCCUUGUGAUGCUAAUCUACACACAAUGUUCUAGUAUAUUUCUGAAGGGGACUACUCAGCCUGUACUAGCUUUGUCCUAAUUUUAACUUAGAAUCUUUAAUUAGGAUAACUUGAAGUAUGCUUGUCUUGCUUAUAAUAACGGUGUAGCAUAAACAUACCAGUUAUUGGAAUUCAAUUGUGUUGAUGAAAGUAGCAUUAGUAUCAUGGUAACUGUUCAGUUUAAAAUUACUCUCAUUCAAAUUCUUCCCUUUUGUACCAAGAUAUGGAACCAAGGUUUGAGCAUAUGUAAUCUUGAUAAUUGGCCUUCGGUUUAAACUCUAUGGACCCAAGGGGACAUUCACUCCAUUAUCUCUAUCCAUUUUACACUUUUUGCGUACGCCAUUGAGUUGAUCUAUUGUUGUCUUAACUUCAAGCUUUAUUUGUAAAAAGUAUGUUAGUGGCAAAGUUAUUAAAAGAUGAAACCAUGUGCUAUUAAGAUUUUGAGUUUUCCUGAGGAUUAUUCAAAGAGAGAACAACAUCUUAUUAUGUUUGGAUCUGUUUGUUUGUGAAAGAUGCAUAUAAAUAAGAAUAUGUGCCAAUAUAUAUUAUGACUUCUGAAUUGAUAUUAUCUUUUUGUAAAGAAUUUUGACUUAUGAUGUGAUUGCAGCAAAGCCAAUUGAUAGUAUUAUUGAUGCAGUGCUGUUAAGUCAUCAAUUACUAAUGUACUGUUAGAAAAUGCCUUUACUGAUUGAAGGAGAAAAUUGCUACCAAGGAGAAAACAUAAGGUAUGUAAUUUUGAAGUACCAAUUUAGAGGUGCAGUUUUGUGUUUUCUUCCAUUGGGCAUUUUACAAUUUGUUCAUGAAUUUGCACAUGCUAACUAUAAGCAGAUGAAUAUCUUGUGGAGAAAACAGAGGGUGUAUACAAAUGAGUUCAUGCUCUUGUCAGUUUUUCUUUGUGGAAUUAUCUUGUGUUUUUGUGUGAAUGCAUCUCUACAACUUUAGCUCCUUAUGUCCACCAUGUCGGCGCUGGUGGCAUUGAACAUGUCGACGAUGGGGGCAGUGCCAUCCUUGAUGAUUCAGUUCAGGAUCUCCCACUUGGCGGCGUCCUUGGCGCUGUAGCUCUCUUUCGGGUUCAGCCCGCAGCCGACGGAGACGACCAUGAACUUGCCGUAUGUUGGAAUAAACCCAAGUCCGCACCUAGUAUAUUUCUCUGCCAUGGUAGGCACUUCUGUUUUGCUGCCAUGCAGCGUUUUUAGCUAGUGUCUAGUUUUCAGUUUCAGUCUUUCUUCAGUCAAUCUAUUAGCGAGUUUAGCUAGAGUAGUUAGUCGCCAGGAGCGAUUCUGGCGUCCACUCUGAUCGCUUGUGGGAUGGAUUUUUUUUCAGUUGUAGCUCAUUUUUCAUUAGCUGAUACCUUCAGUUAUCGUAUACCAAUGUCCUUCUCUGAGCCCCUUUUUCAGUUGCAGCUUUGAAUAAAUUCAGUGAAUUUAGUUUCAUGACGAGAUUAUACAAAGUGAAGCAGUUGGUUAGUAGUAAUCCUUUAAACAUUAUACAAUAUCAAGGAGAAAAGCUCUGACAAGCUUGUCAUUAGUGCCAUCCGGUGCAUAUUAUUCUGAACAUUAUACAAUAUUACAAUUGGAAUAGUUUUUAUACAAUUGAAAAGCUCUGAAGGCUAUUUUCAAACUAGUUUCAGUCUAACAUUCGUUUCUUGCGAAAUGAUGGCUUUCAUGCCGUGGUCAUCUAGGAAUUAAAGAGAACAAUAUUAUACAUAUAAGAACACAAACAGGUGUGUGCUUAUUAUGUUUGCAUCUAUUUCAUUGGGAACAUGGAUAUAAAUAAAUAUAUGUGCUUAUAUAUAGUUUAAAAUUUAUAUUGUAUAGCGACUACGUUGUUGUUUUUUUGCUUUGCAGGUUUCCUAAAGCUAGCCAAUGAAAUUCUUCAAAGAAGUUGAUCUUGGAAGUUUCAGUAGUGACUAUCCCAGCAGCAACACAUUUUGGCAUGGAUGAUUUACACAGAUACAUGUUAAUAAUGGAACUAAAUGAUUAUCCUUGCUGGAUUUCUACCUUAGUAAGCAUUUCCGCUGUUAAACCAUGAUUAGCACACUAAAUUUAUUCGCAGUGCCGUUAUUUGUGCGACUGAACAUGUAUAACUUAUGGUCAGCGUGUUUAAUGUGGAUUGAAGUGUUUUAUUUUUUUACUGUUUA